This 87-nucleotide ribosomal RNA is filed under the name Pseudomonas juntendi. RNAcentral's name for it is "partial 16S ribosomal RNA". Lineage: Bacteria; Pseudomonadati; Pseudomonadota; Gammaproteobacteria; Pseudomonadales; Pseudomonadaceae. The record is from RNAcentral.
UGAGCCAAGUUUAGGGUUUCUUAAAAACCCAAGCAGUAUUGAACUGAAGAGUUUGAUCAUGGCUCAGAUUGAACGCUGGCGGCAGGC